RNAcentral lists this ribosomal RNA (253 nucleotides) under uncultured bacterium. RNAcentral's name for it is "partial 16S ribosomal RNA". It matches the Rfam family "Bacterial small subunit ribosomal RNA", at positions 524 to 776 of the family's 1533-position model. The record is from RNAcentral.
UACAGAGGGGGCUAGCGUUGUUCGGAAUUACUGGGCGUAAAGGGCGCGUAGGCGGCUUCUUAAGUUAGGAGUGAAAUCCCAAGGCUUAACCUUGGAAUUGCUCUUAAUACUGGGAGGCUAGAGACCGGUAGGGGAUAGUGGAAUUCUUAGUGUAGGAGUGAAAUCCGUAGAUAUCGGGAGGAACACCAGUGGCGAAGGCGACUACCUGGCCUGUUCUUGACGCUGAGGCGCGAAAGCUAGGGGAGCAAACGGG